RNAcentral lists this ribosomal RNA (425 nucleotides) under uncultured bacterium. Its description in RNAcentral is "partial 16S ribosomal RNA". It matches the Rfam family "Bacterial small subunit ribosomal RNA", at positions 354 to 796 of the family's 1533-position model. The record is from RNAcentral.
GUAGGGAAUAUUGCAAAUGGGCGAAAGCCUGAUGUAGCAACGCCGCGUGUGCGAUGAAGGUCUUCGGAUUGUAAAGCACUUUUUGGAGGGAUGAGGAAGGACAGUACCUCCAGAAUAAGCCUCGGCUAACUACGUGCCAGCAGCCGCGGUAACACGUAGGAGGCAAGCGUUAUUCGGAUUUACUGGGCGUAAAGCGCGUGCAGGCGGUUUGGAAAGUUGGAUGUGAAAGCUCCUGGCUCAACUGGGAGAGGUCGUUCAAAACUUCCAGACUUGAGAGUGGUAGAGGGAGGUGGAAUUCCGGGUGUAGUGGUGAAAUGCGUAGAUAUCCGGAGGAACACCAGUGGCGAAAGCGGCCUCCUGGACCACUUCUGACGCUCAGACGCGAAAGCUAGGGUAGCGAACGGGAUUAGAAACCCUAGUAGUCC